RNAcentral lists this non-coding RNA (136 nucleotides) under chicken gut metagenome. RNAcentral describes it as "FMN riboswitch (RFN element)". It matches the Rfam family "FMN riboswitch aptamer (RFN element)". Rfam says of the family: The RFN element is a highly conserved domain that is found frequently in the 5'-untranslated regions of prokaryotic mRNAs that encode for flavin mononucleotide (FMN) biosynthesis and transport proteins. This element is a metabolite-dependent riboswitch that directly binds FMN in the absence of proteins. The record is from RNAcentral.
CAUCUUCGGGGCAGGGUGUAAUUCCCGACCGACGGUAAAUGAGUGUUACAACUCAAAGUCCGUGACCCACUUAUUCAAAGUGGCUGAGCCGGUGCAAUUCCGGGACCGACAGUUAAAGUCUGGAUGGGAGAAGAUG